Molecule: non-coding RNA, 2591 nt
Organism: Misgurnus anguillicaudatus (oriental weatherfish)
Lineage: Eukaryota; Metazoa; Chordata; Actinopteri; Cypriniformes; Cobitidae
Source: RefSeq, a predicted model, not a curated record
GUGUAUGUACAGUAUGUGCGUGAGUUUUUAAUUUAAAAUGUCUUAACUUAACUCGGAAGGAUCUGAAUGACAGGUCAUUUCAUCUGAGAUCAUUCCGCAUGUAACAGCCGGAAUCACUCACUGUUUCCCACAACGACACGAGUCAUCAGCCGUUUCCUCAAGGUCACGUCAGGUAAGUGUUUGUAAAUAAAUGUUAAUUUUAGACUAUAUUAAUUGGCAAAGACGCAAAUACUCGACGUUUUUGUAAACAUAUAAGUUAUAUAAAGGUGUGUUAUGUUAUGUGACCGACUUAAAGUGUGUGUUACGUUAUGUGUCCGAGUUAAAGUGGAGCUAUUUUAGUUAAGAUAAUACCGGACAGGGUUUAGGACUCCGUCUUAAUUAUAAUUGGGACAUUUUUACAAACAAACCUUAUAAAAUACAAUACUAGUGUGCAUUUUGAGACAAAACAAUAGCACUCAUAUGUUAACAGAUGUCAGUAUUUUAGUCAGUGAUAAGUCCUGUCCGAGAAAACCGCCCAAUAGUGUUUAAUUCAAUUACGUGUGAUGUCUGAGGGAAACUUGGCAAUUUUAGGGUAUAAAAUCUUUCACCGUCAAGCUUUAUUAUAUUAAACAUGUUAUUUAUGUAUGUGUGUGUGUUUAUAUUCCUCUGUUUAUUAAACCAGAGGGGUGGUGAUGUGGAGAGGCAGACCAGACCACCACCAUACGCGAAGAUGAGCCUCGAGGCUUGACAGUUAUUUUUUCAAACUGAGGAGUUCGGACUCCGGACCGUCAUUUCCGCUUGUUUGUACCCUGAGAUAACCAUGGUUAAUAAAUGGUCAGACACGUCACUGGCUUUAAAAUAUAAACCCCAUUGAUGCAAAAAGGUAAGGUGCUUAAAAGGACCUUGUAAGACUUCGUCACUAAUGUUCACCCACAAAUUAAAAUUGUCGUCACUUUCUUCAGCAGAACACAACAGAAGAAAUUUUGAAAAAGUAUGGUAAUCGAACAACAAUGGUGCCCAUUGACCUGCAUUGGUUUUGUGUCCAUUAAAUUGCUAGCAGAGUUGUUCGGUUACAGACAUUCUUCAAAAUCUUUUUUGUGUUAGUGUUCUGCUGAAGAAAGAAAGCUGUGAAUGUUUGAAAUAACGAGUGAGUGAAUGAGUUUUCUUUUUUGAGUAAAAUGUCCCUGUAAUUGAUAUCUGUACCUAAUGUACAAUAAUUUGUAUCUUUGUAGGUCUGGUGAGGAAUGCUGCACUUAUGUUAUUGCAAGCAUUAUUUCAAGAAAAUCCCAGCUUCCUUUACUGUGUAAAUAGUGAACCCAAAGGUCCCACACCAACCAUAGUGUUCAACGGCUCUCCUGAUCUUUUCAAAUCUGAAUGUAUCAACUUUAUAAUGGACAAUGUGAACUUAAUAUGUGGAAGACAUUGACAUCACAGGCUGUGGAAUGACUGUGUCACAGGUCGGAGAAGCGGACCGCCCCUGUCGCGGAUCACGCUCCUCCUAGUUCCACCUCGAGGAGGUCCCAAAGCACCCCAAUGACCAGACAAACCAGAGGGGGGAGUAUUACGGGGCCAGGGACGUUGGAGGGGUUUCCACGUGACUCCAGCUGGAACACCGCUACAGAGCGUAUCUGGGUGGGUUGGGCACACACCGUCGCGGCGGCCCCUGAUGGCAUCCACAAGGGUCCAAGACCCUCCUAAGCUCCUAGCCGUAGCAGAACUACGUAUUUCAGCACCCGAAGGACUAACAACCCAGCCGGCAUCUGCAGCGUAUAUCCAACGCGAUCAAACUUCACUCUGACAAGUAACUUCCUAUACACAACCACGCCGUCCUUUCGCCCGGACCAGCCCCGCACUCUUUCCGCCCGCUACCUAGCGGUCGCCGGAUCAGCAGAGCCUGCGGACUCUUCGGAGGCUGGUCUUCGUUGUGCUGCCCAAGGCGGAAGUUGACUCGCCCGAAAAUCGACCCUUCCAGUAACUUCUACUUUCUCUCUUUAUAUUCUCCUCCCAGGCGUGGCUCGCCCAACCAUCGCUCGCCACGUCACUCACACAGCUGUGCCUUGUUUCAGCGAGUGCGGGGAUUACCGGGGAACCCGGAAGUGCCGGUGUCUGUACAAACCGGUCCGGGCGGAACCUCUUCACUCUCCUUUUGGUUCCGCCCCGCAUAGUCACUCCGUGACAACUAUUUGCGUUUUUUUUUCUCCUCAAUGUUCAAUACCCUUUUGCCAUUAAGCACACAGUGACUUUAAUUUAUAAAAUAUAUGCUUAAGUUUUAAUACCUGUACAAAACAAAUGUACAAUCAACUUGUGUAAAUUGUCAUUCUAUUUAAUAGAUUGUUCAUGAAUUGUCUUUAAAUGCAUUGUGAUUUCGGUAACACUUUACAAUAAAGUUCAUUAGUUAACAUUAGUUAAUGUAUUAACUAACUUGAACAAACCAUAAGCAAUACAUUUGUUACAGUAUUUAUUCAUCUUUGUUAAUGUUAGUUAAUAAAAAUUUAAGCUUUAAUUGCUUGUUCAUGUUAGUUCAGAGUGCAUUAACUAAUGUUAACAAGAUUUUAAUAAAGUAAUUGUUGAAAUUAACAUUAACAAAGAUUAAUAAAGGCUGUAUAAGUGCA